UGCUGUGAGCUCGAUGAGUAGGGCGGGACACGUGGUAUCCUGUCUGAAUAUGGGGGGACCAUCCUCCAAGGCUAAAUACUCCUGACUGACCGAUAGUGAACCAGUACCGUGAGGGAAAGGCGAAAAGAACCCCGGCGAGGGGAGUGAAAAAGAACCUGAAACCGUGUACGUACAAGCAGUGGGAGCCUCUUUAUGGGGUGACUGCGUACCUUUUGUAUAAUGGGUCAGCGACUUAUAUUCUGUAGCAAGGUUAACCGAAUAGGGGAGCCGAAGGGAAACCGAGUCUUAACUGGGCGUUAAGUUGCAGGGUAUAGACCCGAAACCCGGUGAUCUAGCCAUGGGCAGGUUGAAGGUUGGGUAACACUAACUGGAGGACCGAACCGACUAAUGUUGAAAAAUUAGCGGAUGACUUGUGGCUGGGGGUGAAAGGCCAAUCAAACCGGGAGAUAGCUGGUUCUCCCCGAAAGCUAUUUAGGUAGCGCCUCGUGAAUUCAUCUCCGGGGGUAGA
RNAcentral lists this ribosomal RNA (508 nucleotides) under Escherichia coli. Its description in RNAcentral is "partial 23S ribosomal RNA". It matches the Rfam family "Bacterial large subunit ribosomal RNA", at positions 395 to 906 of the family's 2925-position model. Lineage: Bacteria; Pseudomonadati; Pseudomonadota; Gammaproteobacteria; Enterobacterales; Enterobacteriaceae. The record is from RNAcentral.